GAUGAAGAAAGUAGCGAAAUGCGAUACUUGGUGUGAAUUGCAGAAUCCCGUGAACCAUCGAGUCUUUGAACGCAAGUUGCGCCCGAAGCCAUCAGGUUGAGGGCACGUCUGCCUGGGCGUCACAUAUCGUUGCCCAAUGCCUAUUGCAGUGCAAUAGGAAUUUCUAGGGCGAAUGAUGGCUUCCCGUGAGCGUUGUUGCCUCGCGGUUGGUUGAAAAUCGAGUCCUUGGUAGGGUGUGCCAUGGUAGAUGGUGGUCGAGUUAGAACGAUACCGAUCAUGUGCAUGCUCCCCAAAAUAUGGCCUCUAUGACCCACACGCGUCUUUUGACGCUCAUGACGAGACCUCAGGUCAGGCGGGGCUACCCGCUGAAUUUAAGCAUAUCAAUAAGCGGAGGA
This 395-nucleotide unclassified non-coding RNA is filed under the name soil metagenome. RNAcentral's name for it is "partial contains 5.8S ribosomal RNA, internal transcribed spacer 2, and large subunit ribosomal RNA". The stretch from base 1 to 122 matches the Rfam family "5.8S ribosomal RNA", at positions 35 to 154 of the family's 154-position model. The record is from RNAcentral.